RNAcentral lists this non-coding RNA (192 nucleotides) under Candidatus Omnitrophota bacterium. RNAcentral's name for it is "6S RNA". It matches the Rfam family "6S / SsrS RNA". From Rfam's summary of the family: E. coli 6S RNA was the first non coding RNA to be sequenced, but its function was unknown until recently. It consists of 184 nucleotides that fold into an extended hairpin structure with a large single-stranded internal bulge. Lineage: Bacteria; Pseudomonadati; Candidatus Omnitrophota. The record is from RNAcentral.
AUGCCCCUGCGGUGCCCGUGCUUCGUCGGGUAGAUUCUGAACCAACAUUUAAAAUCAGGGAGCUUGAAUCGGCUGCGGAAUGCAAGCCCGCCGGCACCAUCAGGCGGGGAGCAGGAAACAGCGGAUAGAGUUCCCGACUUGGUGAAAACCAGGUUCAUGAAUGCUUCGACACACGGCACAGGCGGGGGCUUU